This is a long non-coding RNA of Aquila chrysaetos chrysaetos, 3812 nucleotides long. RefSeq lists it as uncharacterized. Lineage: Eukaryota; Metazoa; Chordata; Aves; Accipitriformes; Accipitridae. The record is from RefSeq and is a predicted model, not a curated record. The transcript is spliced from 2 exons.
AGAAACCCCUACUGAAUUUCUAGAUCAAAUAAGAAAUGCCAUGAGAAAAUAUACUACCCUAGAUCCUUCUUCAGACGUGGGAGAGCAACAGCUUGUCUCUCUGUUUCUGGGACAGUCAUCUACAGAUACAAGGAAGAAGUUACAGAAAUUAAAAGAGCCAGAUAUAAGGGACUUAGAGAAGUUGCUUGAAGAAGCAUGGAGAGUUUUUAGAAAUCGAGAGGAUACAGGUAAGCGAAAAUUAAUAAAAGUAAUGGCGACAGUGACAGUGGCAGCUUUGGAACAGAAAGGAAUGGUAAAUGGAGGAAGAUUUAGAGGACGUGGGAGAGGAAGGCCCUUUGGGAAUAGAAGAGGGAUAGAAUGGGUAUUGGGAAGAAAUCAGCGUGCGUAUUGUUGGGAGGAAGGACAUUGGAAAAAUGAAUACCCGAAACGUAAGGGAGUACAACAGGCUAUGAUAGCGGAAGCGGAGGCCGACUGAUGGGGACCUGGGGCAUCUACCCUAGCGGAUCCACUGGUUAAAAUUAAGCUAGGGAAGUCAGGGAAAAGUAGAAUUUUUGGUGGCUACGGGAGCCUCUUUCUCUGUUUUAAAUCAAGAAUUGAUACCUGUAAGUAAGGACUUUGUAAAUGUAAAGGAGCUACUGGCCAACAGGAAAAAGCGUUCUUUUUAAAACUCCUCAAAUUCAAGUUAGGGAAGCAAAUUGGGAUACAUCGAUUUUUGUAUUUGCCAAAUUCUCCCCAACCACUACUGGGUCGGAACUUAUUAGAACAAUUAGGAGCAGUGAUAACUUUAAACAUGGGACUGUGGAAUUAAAAAUAAAGGAAAAUCAAUUAAUUGAUAUUUUAAGUUUAGCCCUAAUGUACCCUGGGAAGUCUGCCGCAAUGACCCCCGAAACUGAAGAAAUUACUAAUCGGGUAUAUCCAGGAGUAUGGGCUGCAGGGACUCCCGGGAGGGUGAAAAAUGCCAUUCCUAUAGUCAUAGAGCUCAAGGAAGGAACCAGUCCAGUACAACAAAAGCAAUACCCUUUGAAACUAGAAGACUGAAAAGGGAUAGAAAGCCUAAUUAGUAAUUUUUUACAGCAUGGACUGUUAGUGGAAUGUGAAUCAGAAUGUAACACCCCCAUGUUACUGGUAUAGAAACCAGAUGGAACUUAUCAGGUAGUACAGGAUUUAAGAGGAGUAAAUAAAAUCAUUAAAGAUUUACACCCUGUGGUAGCCAACCCUUAUACUUUACUCACUAAAUUACGAAGUAAUUGGGUAUGGUUUACAGUAUUAGACUUAAAAGAUGCAUUCUUCUGUUUGUCUUUGGCCAAAGAAAGUCAAAAUUUGUUUGCAUUUGAAUGGGAGAGUCCUACUACUGGUAGGAAAACCCAACUUACCUGGACAGUGUUACCCCAAGGUUUUAAGAACAGUCCAACAAUUUUUGGAAACCAGUUAGCACAGGAACUUGAAACAUGGGACCCUCCCUCCAGAGAUGGAACCUUUUUGCAAUAUGUGGAUGACUUACUAAUAGCAACUGAAAUGAAACCUGAUUGUAUACAAUGGACUGUAAGUUUGUUGAAUUUUGGGGGAUUAAAUGGAUAUUGAGUUUCUCAACAGAAGGCUCAGAUGGUGCAGCAGCAGGUAACCUACCUCGGGUACGAGCUAUCUGGAGGACAACGAGAAUUAGGAACAGACUGAAAAGAAGCCAUCUGCAGAACUCCUCUCCCUCAGACGAUAAAAGAACUCAGGACAUUCCUGGGAAUGACAGAAUUUUUCAGGUGAUCCACUAGAGGAGAAGUGGAAUGGACCUUACCAGGUAUUGCUGACCACUUUCACUGCAAUCAAGAUAAAGGAACAACCAGCUUGGAUUCACUAUUCCAGAGUGAAGAAGGCCCCAGAUAAGCAAUGGACUUCUGAACCUCUGGGACCUUUGAAAUUAAAACUACAAAGACAUUAAUAUGGGAGAAGAAAAUGAACUCAUAAGCAUUUUAAUUAUAAUAUCUACCAUAGGCAUUGUUGCUGCUUGGAAUGAGAAUAUUCAGUAUCGGGUAAUUCAGACACUAGUCAAUGCUACUAGGGCAAAAGAUUGUUGGAUUUGCACAGCAUUACCUAGAGGCUCCAAACUGCCACUAUAUGGGAUAGCCAGUACGAAUUGGACUCAAAAUGUGUUUUGGAAUUUUAAUUAUUCUUGUAAAUAUGGCCAAGAGAACGAUACUUCCAAAGGACCACAAUUUGACCUAGUUACUCUAACAAAUAAUACUUUGUUCUGUUAAAAGGACCCGCAAAACAGAUCUGCAGACUUAGGAUAUAGAAAUAUAACAGGAAUAGGAUGUAGUUGGAAUUAUUCAGCAACUACCACAUACGGUGGGACUGUUUGGAGCCAAGGCUCAAAAAGAAAUUGUGGUUCUGGUCCUGGUUUGGAAAUAUAUCAACGUGGUCUGAAAAUGACCAAGGGGUCUUGUAGAUUGCCCCAUGGAUGGUGGUGGUUAUGUGGAGAUGGAUAUGCAUGAAAGACGCUACCUAAAGAAUGGUAUGGCGUGUGUACAGCAGGACAUCUAACCACCCAGGAUACUCUACACAACCACUCCCAGAUACCCCCAGGAUUUUUGAGGAGAUUUUAUUACUAAAAGUACAAAAACAAACCUCAAAUCCCUUGACAGAACGACCCUCAGGAUUUCAUAGUUUUGUACAGUGGUUAUUCCCCAUGCUAGGGGUCAGGGAGUUGGAAAAAGCAAUUGUAAACAUCUCUGCUACCUUAGAUGAGAUAUUUAACACCUCUACGAAUGAUAUUGCUAAUAUGCAAGUUGAAAUUGCUUCCCUAUCACAAGUAGUGGUACACAGUAGAAUGGCCCUAGACAUAUUAACUGCAGAAGUGGGAGGAGUAUGCACGGUAAUUAAUCAGAGCUGUUGCAGCUAUAUUAAUUGAGAAGGGCAGAUUGAAAAGGACUCACACAAAGUAUGGGAAAAGACUAGGAUUUUCCAUGAAACUAUUAAGGACAAUACGGAAUGGGGCUUUACAGAUUUAUCGGAUAAAUCGACUUCUUGGCUUCCUAAUUUUGGAUAGUUAAAACAACUAUUUAUCAGAUUAAUUACUCUGGCAAUUUUAGGAAUAUUUGUGUGUAUGCUUUUCAAAUGUUUUCUUUGGUGUUGCCAGAAUUCAGCUGAAACGUAUAGUGACUGGAAAAGAAAUAAGAUUAGACAUCAGGUGGAAACGGGAAAAUAUUUUGCUUGGACUCUUCAAAAGGAUGGAACGUUAUACAAUAUUGCAAAAGAAUUUGCAAUGACAAAGAAAAAGGGGGGAUAGAAGCAAGAGCCUGAUGGAACUUUACUAGCCAAAGCCUUUUUAACAAGCAGCAGCAAUGAACUAUGUAGCAGUGGCAUUGUGAAACAUAUAUGUAAGCACAUGGUAAUCUUUUAACGGAACUUAUCUUCAGGAACGGAAUGCAAGGCCACUAUGAGAUAAAGAGGCACAGGAUGCCUCAAGACGGCAGAACCAGCUGAAACUAGCUCUGGUUUUGUCAGCAAGGACAAGGCAGUAAAAGCUAUAGUUCACCGAGGGGACAUGGUGAUGAAGAGGAGUGGAUGAAGUAAACGACCACCAGAUGUCUCUGAAGCCCACCAAAGACUAUAAAUGCGCAUGUGGGAAUGGGUGGUUACCUAUGAUAAUGAGUUCUCAGGAAAAUCAUGAAUGUGUUAAUCACUUCUCAGAUAUCUUCUAAAUAUGUACAUAUAACUUGCAUAUAAGCUGUAUAACUGACCUGACAUGGUGCACAUAUUAGGAGGGGCGAUCUCCUGUGUGCCCAGCGCUGCAAUAAAGAAUACCUACUUAAUAGUCA